UACGGAGGGUGCAAGCGUUAUCCGGAAUCACUGGGUUUAAAGGGUGCGUAGGCGGCGUUAUAAGUCAGAGGUGAAAGGCCACCGCUUAACGGUGGGACUGCCUUUGAUACUGUAGUGCUUGAAUAAGGUUGAGGUUAGCGGAAUGAGUCAUGUAGCGGUGAAAUGCAUAGAUAUGACUUAGAACACCAAUUGCGAAGGCAGCUGGCUAGACCUUUAUUGACGCUGAGGCACGAAAGCGUGGGGAGCGAACAGG
Molecule: ribosomal RNA, 253 nt
Filed under: uncultured bacterium
Lineage: Bacteria
Description: partial 16S ribosomal RNA
Rfam family: Bacterial small subunit ribosomal RNA
Source: RNAcentral